UACGGAGGGGGCUAGCGUUGUUCGGAAUUACUGGGCGUAAAGCGCGCGUAGGCGGCUUUGUAAGUCAGGGGUGAAAGCCCAGAGCUCAACUCUGGAAUAGCCCUUGAGACUGCAUCGCUUGAAUCCAGGAGAGGUGAGUGGAAUUCCGAGUGUAGAGGUGAAAUUCGUAGAUAUUCGGAAGAACACCAGUGGCGAAGGCGGCUCACUGGACUGGUAUUGACGCUGAGGUGCGAAAGCGUGGGGAGCAAACAGG
Molecule: ribosomal RNA, 253 nt
Filed under: uncultured bacterium
Lineage: Bacteria
Description: partial 16S ribosomal RNA
Rfam family: Bacterial small subunit ribosomal RNA
Source: RNAcentral